Molecule: ribosomal RNA, 609 nt
Filed under: uncultured Actinomycetes bacterium
Lineage: Bacteria; Bacillati; Actinomycetota; Actinomycetes
Description: bacterial SSU rRNA
Rfam family: Bacterial small subunit ribosomal RNA
Source: RNAcentral
GGAUGAGUGGCGAACGGGUGAGUAACACGUGAGUAACCUGUCCCCUUCUUUGGGAUAACGCCCGGAAACGGGUGCUAAUACUGGAUAUUCACUGGCCUUCGCAUGGGGGUUGGUGGAAAGGUUUUUUCUGGUGGGGGAUGGGCUCGCGGCCUAUCAGCUUGUUGGUGGGGUGAUGGCCUACCAAGGCUUUGACGGGUAGCCGGCCUGAGAGGGUGACCGGUCACAUUGGGACUGAGAUACGGCCCAGACUCCUACGGGAGGCAGCAGUGGGGAAUAUUGCACAAUGGGCGAAAGCCUGAUGCAGCGACGCCGCGUGAGGGAUGACGGCCUUCGGGUUGUAAACCUCUUUCGCUCAUGGUCAAGCCGCAACAAUGGUUGUGGUGAGGGUAGUGGGUAAAGAAGCGCCGGCUAACUACGUGCCAGCAGCCGCGGUAAUACGUAGGGCGCGAGCGUUGUCCGGAAUUAUUGGGCGUAAAGGGCUUGUAGGCGGUUGGUCGCGUCUGCCGUGAAAUCCUCUGGCUUAACUGGGGGCGUGCGGUGGGUACGGGCUGACUUGAGUGCGGUAGGGGAGACUGGAACUCCUGGUGUAGCGGUGGAAUGCGCAGAUAU